Non-coding RNA from Geobacillus sp. Y4.1MC1, 115 nucleotides. Lineage: Bacteria; Bacillati; Bacillota; Bacilli; Caryophanales; Anoxybacillaceae. The record is from Rfam.
CUCUUAUCCCGAGUUGGUGGAGGGACAGGCCCGAUGAAACCCAGCAACCGUCACAACUUGAAAUGUGUGAAAUGGUGCUAACCUGUGGCAAGGCAGCGUCCUUGAACGAUAAGAG